Molecule: ribosomal RNA, 864 nt
Filed under: Staphylococcus aureus
Lineage: Bacteria; Bacillati; Bacillota; Bacilli; Caryophanales; Staphylococcaceae
Description: partial 23S ribosomal RNA
Rfam family: Bacterial large subunit ribosomal RNA
Source: RNAcentral
CGUGUGCUUACAAGUAGUCAGAGCCCGUUAAUGGGUGAUGGCGUGCCUUUUGUAGAAUGAACCGGCGAGUUACGAUUUGAUGCAAGGUUAAGCAGUAAAUGUGGAGCCGUAGCGAAAGCGAGUCUGAAUAGGGCGUUUAGUAUUUGGUCGUAGACCCGAAACCAGGUGAUCUACCCUUGGUCAGGUUGAAGUUCAGGUAACACUGAAUGGAGGACCGAACCGACUUACGUUGAAAAGUGAGCGGAUGAACUGAGGGUAGCGGAGAAAUUCCAAUCGAACCUGGAGAUAGCUGGUUCUCUCCGAAAUAGCUUUAGGGCUAGCCUCAAGUGAUGAUUAUUGGAGGUAGAGCACUGUUUGGACGAGGGGCCCCUCUCGGGUUACCGAAUUCAGACAAACUCCGAAUGCCAAUUAAUUUAACUUGGGAGUCAGAACAUGGGUGAUAAGGUCCGUGUUCGAAAGGGAAACAGCCCAGACCACCAGCUAAGGUCCCAAAAUAUAUGUUAAGUGGAAAAGGAUGUGGCGUUGCCCAGACAACUAGGAUGUUGGCUUAGAAGCAGCCAUCAUUUAAAGAGUGCGUAAUAGCUCACUAGUCGAGUGACACUGCGCCGAAAAUGUACCGGGGCUAAACAUAUUACCGAAGCUGUGGAUUGUCCUUUGGACAAUGGUAGGAGAGCGUUCUAAGGGCGUUGAAGCAUGAUCGUAAGGACAUGUGGAGCGCUUAGAAGUGAGAAUGCCGGUGUGAGUAGCGAAAGACGGGUGAGAAUCCCGUCCACCGAUUGACUAAGGUUUCCAGAGGAAGGCUCGUCCGCUCUGGGUUAGUCGGGUCCUAAGCUGAGGCCGACAGGCGUAGGCGAUGGAUAACAG